This is a non-coding RNA of Pelobates cultripes (western spadefoot toad), 473 nucleotides long. Lineage: Eukaryota; Metazoa; Chordata; Amphibia; Anura; Pelobatidae. The record is from the annotation of a GenBank genome assembly.
GUUUCUUUUUCCUAUAGCCCAAGACACUCAUCUCGAACUGGGUUGUGUGCCCGCCAAUAUCGCUAUAAACCUUAUUAGGUAAUUGAUUAUUACUUUUUGGAUAUUGGUGCUUCAUGAAUUUAAUGAUUAGGCACAACAUUUUGGCGACGAGGAUGGGAUGAGUGUUAAUUGAGCAAGGAAAAUUGAAAUCAAUAAUUUGAAAUAGUUUUAAAAAAGUUGUUAAGCAUAGUUAAAACAAGGAAAUUGUGUUUAGAAUUCGUUAGAACUGUUUAUGUGAGAUAAGAAAAUUGUGGUUAGAGAUUGUUAGAACUGCCUAGACAAAUUGUGCGCACAGUAAAAGUGAAACUAACAUCAUACUAGGUCUAAUUUCUGCUGCGUCACGGAGGAAAAAAGUCAUUUGCAAGCUGUCAGUUUCUUCCGUGCGCUGCAGCAAAGUAUGCAAUAGUGAUUCUAAGCUUAGAAAACAAGCACUA